Non-coding RNA from Poecilia reticulata (guppy), 303 nucleotides. The record is from RefSeq and is a predicted model, not a curated record. NCBI's taxonomy places the organism in Eukaryota, Metazoa, Chordata, Actinopteri, Cyprinodontiformes, Poeciliidae.
GAGUAUUUUGCCAGUGGAAAGGAUUUUUCUCCUGCUGAAGAAGUUCUGCAGUUUCCAUGAAUCCAUCACAACGAAACAAGAACUCCAGAAACGGCAGCAGCAGAAAACCCCGCAGAGAAACGCCGAGAUGCGAUUCUGGUUCAUUUCUGACCAGCUGGUCUGGAGGAAGUCGGACCAGAGAGACGACAGGUUCAGCUUCACUGUAACCGGGAUCAACAGCCGCAGAUCAAACGUCACUAGAGACUCCGGGUCGGAAAAAAGGAGGAAAUUUCCAUCAAAAAAUACAAGAUUAUUCUGAGAAAA